Molecule: RNA transcript, 10295 nt
Organism: Panicum virgatum (switchgrass)
Lineage: Eukaryota; Viridiplantae; Streptophyta; Magnoliopsida; Poales; Poaceae
Exons: 7
Source: RefSeq, a predicted model, not a curated record
UCUCAGUUGGCCUUGGCCUCACGGGCCAUCCCCAUCUCGCGACUCUCUCUGUCUCGUGCUCUCUACGCUGCUGCCGCCCCUUGCUGGUCGCCACGGCGCCCAUUCGCCGGCGACCCCCAAGGCCUCGCCCUCCAUCCACACACCCCUACAACCUUCGUAGUCGCGGUAGGAUCGCCGUUCCUAUCAACCUCCUCCCCGCCUCCUUGGUUCCGUGGGGACCCCUCUCCUCCGCCCUGCUGCCGUGGGGGCGCCCUCUGUCAGCCCCCUCCUCGCUGCCUCCCUGGUGCCGUGGGGGAGCCUCCCCCUCGCCUUCCCCUCCGGCGCCUCCCCUAAUUCUUCUCCCCAUCCGGCGUGUCACGGCGAGGCGGAAGACGUCGAGGGCAAACUUGGAAGGGCAACGGCGGCCACGCACGGGCGAACGAGACGAGCAUCACACCCGCCAGCACAAACAGGCGGCGGCGACGAGACAGAGGCAGUCAAGGCGGCUGAUUCCGGUGAUAGCAGCUGAUGGGCAUGGAUGAUGGAGGAGUGGAUAUAGAGGGAGGGUAUGUUUGUUCUGUCAUGAAUGUGUUUGUUCUUUAGUGAGCAAUCUGAACAGUUAAAGUUCAAAGGGUUCUACUAUUUCUUGAGUUUCCCUCUCACCAAGGGUUAGCAAUCCCACACCACUCUUAACUGUUGGUUCAGCCACUGAGUUAGAUCAAUUCCAUUGUAAUUAAUCUUGUCCUUAGCUUCAUUUUUUCUAUCAUGUUGCAUUUGCAUCACAAGCUCAAGUCCCAUUUUGUUUUGUUCCUAUAGUUUCCAAAAUCAAUCCUCUGACAACCAUUGUUUCGGAUCCUAUUGAUUUUCCCAAAAACAAAGUCUGAUGUUCAAGUUAGAAAAAUCUAAAUUCUUACUCAUAUUGGUUCAACCCAUAAGGAAAUCUAAUUUGAUUGUCUUAUCUGAGGUGUUAGCAUAUCUUUUGAGUUUAACCAAAGAAGUUUUGUUUGUAAACUUCAAGUCAACAUUGUAUACAGAUAUUGAGUUUUAUAUGCUAUAUAAAAUUGUUGCUCUUAUGAACAAUAAUGGAUUCCUUCCUUUAUUUCUGUAAUGGUAAUGAGAUCAGAAAAAAUUCAGUUCAUGCAUAUUGCUUGGCUGAAGGUAGGUGAGAAAAGCAGCGAUUGCAUCCCCAUUUUCUAAAACCAGCGAUGUGCAAAAAUGUUGCCACCGAAUUAUAUAUAAGGUCCAAACAUGCACUUUUGUUAAGCUGAUAUUUUUCUUGCCAAACUGAUUGCUCUUUCAAUUAUGUAGGUUAAGUACCACGGAAAGGCUGGAUUGGCUCUUGGUUCUUGAAUUUCGUGAGAAAGAGCUAACAUAGGAUUUAGAUGUGUAGAUAUUUUGAAAUGGAGGAAAGAGUUUUAGUGCUAGAGGCCAUGAGGGAUGGCAUUGUUCAUCUACUUUGUUCUUUUGGAUGCAAUUCACGAUGAUUGAUGAAGAGCAAGACGCCAGACAGCUCUAGGCCAAGCCCUGCUACCACAAUACAGCAAAGUGCUUCAUGGAACCUCUAGGACUUAAAGAAAAAGGGGGAGGACUGCAAGCAAGGGGAACAAAAUUGAACAUGACCGCGAGGAGGUAUGCUAUGCAUGCAUACUGCUGUUUGUUUAGGACAAUUUCCCAUGUUUAGAUGCGUCUGUUUUUUUAUUUUGCCUGCAACCACAUAUGGGGUGUCCUGUAGGCUGUAUCCACAGCCCAUGAUUUGGGGAUUUCUUCAGUUCUAUUUUGUUACAUAGUGUUGUUGAUUUUGUCUACAAAGCAAUCAAAAUGAAGAAAAGAUGGAGCCAAUUGAGUAUUCCAUUUUAUUGGGUAUUUUGUAACAAACUAAUUGUAAUAAAAUAUAUUUUUAUUACUAUAAAUUUUUUUUGCUAGGUUUCUUAAAAACAUAUGCAUGAGGAAUGUCCAUCUCCAUUAGAAUUUGUAGUUAUGCAUACAACAUUGGUUAAAUUAAAAAUACAUGUUUACUUGAUUUUCUUUAUGAAUGUAAAAUUCUUGUUUUCAACACUUCUUGAAAGCUCGAUGUCAAUAAAAAAGAUUGUGGUAUUGAAUAUGUUGGUGCUGCACAUGCCUGUCCCUGGAUAUAAAAUUUUUAUUUGCCAUAAAUAUUUUGAACACUUGCAUGUAGCAUGUGCACUCUACUAUGCUCUAUAUGAAAGAACUGCGAAAAGUGUUGUAUGAUAACUUUUUCUAUGCAUUUUUAUUUAUGCUAUAUAAAUGCUUUUGUAGCUUGUUAAAUGCAUAUAUGGAGUUAGGAGCAUGCUAAAAGGAUAAAACCAGCUGGGUUAGCUUUGUUUUGACAUGUAGUACUUGGAGAAAAUAUUAAGCCUGCUGUUUGGUUAAUAUUUUUUUGAUGUAUUGAUUUGGUUAAUGCUUGUUUAAGCUUGUUUAUUUAAUAUCUUCACUUGGCCAAGGGAGUGGGAGGUCACAACAAACUCUGAACUUAAUGGGUCAGCCAUGUUUUCUCUGUACAUUUUAUUUUCUCUCUCAACGAUGUGUUGGUUGAUGAGCAUAUGGAAGAAAAGACAUUGUCCAGCUUAUGGCCCUUUAUUUAUUAGCUUUGAUUUGCUCACUGGUUGUUCUAUUCUGCCAGAUCGUUGUCCACUCUACAGCAAAAUUCAACCCUGAUGACAGCUUCCGCUUGGAGCCGAACUUUGCCUCUGCACCUUUCUUAGAGAACAAAGGGUGAGAACUCACGAGUUAGGAAAGGGAUUCUAGAUAUUUAGGGGAAAAAACGCUGAUAACUUAGGAAUUAAGAUUAAGAAGGAGAAAUCACUGCAGUCAGGUGUUGGGUUGAUCUCCACCAGUUGGUCCAACGGCCAACUAGGCCUUUAACUCGCGCUCUGAUCGGGAGCGCCCAGCCCAAUGCAAAGCUGGUGGCCCCCCGUCGUGCAGUGCCUAAAUAGGAGGUGGGGUGCUGGUGGCUAGGGUUAUGAGAUUCACUGCCGCCACUAUUCCCACUGUCCUAACCCUAAUCCGAUCUAAAGAGUGAGCUAUUAGCGACGGGAAGCUCCACUACGCCGUCGCCAUCAGGCCAUCGCCGUCCCUGCACUGCGACAACACCGCUACCACGACGUCUCUGCGCUGCGCGUCGCUACCCCAGUGCAGAACUUCACCGACAAACCCACGGUGUCCUGCAACUUCUACAUCCUGGUAAAAGAAAGUAACCACUCGAUCUACUCCUAGGCGAUCCAAUAGUUCUAACAAUGGUAUCAGUUAGCCGAUCUAGCGAAGUAGAUCGAUUUGGGAAUGGAUCCAAACUCAGAUCGAAAGAAUCACAGAAAGGAAAGAAAGACAUUUCUAUUUUGAAUCUAAUCGAAAGAACAAAGACCCUAACCCUAGGGGAUCAAGGCCGGCGGGACUCACCUUCACCGCCGGCCGGAGCUGCGUGGGAAGACCCACGAGCUGCCGCCUCACCGGUGCUCCAUCGCUGCGCGCCGGCUAGAGGAAGACCCGAGCCGCUAGAGGAAGGACCCUCUCGACGCGUGCGCUCGGGGCCCAGGGCGCCGUCCCGGAGCCGCUCGACGGCGGCGCGCUCCCCACGGCGAGCGCGCACGUCGGCGAGGGGGCCUGCAGCGGCGCCAUCUCCUCUGGCCGCCGCUCAGUGUGCUCAGGGAGAGAUUGAGAAAGGGGCUCGUGGAUCUCGGGCCGUGUGCGCCGGCGAGGGGGGGGGGGGCAGGCGGCGGCGGCGCCACCUCCUCCGGGCGCCCUAGGCGGCCACCGCUCCAAGAGUCGAGCCUCGUCGGGGGGAGAAAAGAAGGGACCGGCGAGGGGGCGUGCAGCGGCGGCGCCGCCACCUCCUUCUAGCCAAGGGCCGCCGCCGCUCGGUGCACAGAAAGAAGGGGCCGGCGGCGGCGCCGUCCUUCCUCCGGCCAGCCCCCGCGGCCGCCGCCUCCAUGAGAGAGAGAAGGGGGGAGCAAAUGGAACCUAGGGUUUCAGGGGGAGGACUGGCGACGGGUUUUGAUCCCGCGAGGAAGGCGGACAGCCGUCCGAUUGCGCUGGACGACCAGGAUUGAGACAAGGGGAGCCGAGCUGGGCCGCCGGCCCAGGCGGGAGCUGAAGCGGGCCAAGCCACUGUUUGCUGGGCCGCGCGUGCGAUGCGCCGUGAGCUGGGCCGCCGGCCCAGGCGGUUGCUGCUGGCUGCUGGGCCGCGUGGAGGCAAGAGAGAAGAGCAAGCCCAGGAGAGCUGGCGGGGCAGGGCCAAGCGGCUCAGCUACAGGCUGCUGGCUGUUUUUGCCUGCUGGGCGAAAGAGCACAGUAACAGUAUUGAAUUUUUUUUUCAGAGACAUUUUCCUUGAAUAUUGAUCAGGUUUUCAUCUCUAUUCAAUUCGAACCAACGGGAGAAUUAUUUAGAGAAUACAUGAGUAAGAAUAUAGAAUUUUUAUGUUUCCGCUGCAAAGUAAAAAGUCUCAUCCUCUAUUUAAAUUGGAACCAACGAGAAAAUUUGAAUAGAGGAGUAGAAAGAUAUUUGUUUAAAGUUAAUUUAUGAUAUUGUUAUUUUCUGACCAAUGUUGAUGAUAACAAUAUUAUGAUUUUAAGUUCAAUGUUAAAUCUCUAACCUUUUUGCAUCAAAGUGAUCAAUUUUUCAGAGAAGAGAGAAAGACAAAGAAAAUCUUAUGAAAGAAAGAAAAGUUCUCCGCUGCCAUAAAGAAAGAUAGACUCAGAUGAGUUUUUCCCUGUGGGAAAAAAGAGCCUUUAAGUUUAAGGUUAAGAAAAGCUUCCGAGGUUGUAUGUCAAAGAAAGGAUAUUUUGGCUCCAUUUUGCCAUUGUAAGUGUCAAGUUGAGCAUUAGUUUGCUCUUAAAAGAAAAGAAAUUUAAAGUUCAUUAUGACGUUGUCAUUUUCUGACCAAAGUUGAUGAUGGCAAUAUUAUAAUUUUUAUUUUAGUCAUGUGUUCUAUUUCUAUCCAACGGUGAUAUAGAAUUGAAAGUAAAGAAAAGUUGUAUGUUUUAAUUUUGAUCAACAUUAAAUUAAGACAUACAAUUCUUCCCAAGUAGAGAGAAAUUAACAGACAAAAGUUGAUUCCGAUCAACGCUACAGAUAAAGUUUUGAGGUUACUCGGCUGUAUAGUUGUGGUUAAGAAAGAAAAUUGCUUGUUCCAUUCUGACUUUUAGUUGAUAUGGAAAAGAGAUGCAAUUGUUUUCAAAAAGUUUUUGGUUUCUCUCACUAAAGUUUUACAAAUAUUGUAAUUCGUUAAAUUUUCUGAUUAAAUUAGAACCAACGGGAAGAUUUAAUCAGAAAAGAAAGUAUAUGUGCAUGUUUUAGUCAUUGUGACCAAAGUUUUAUUACUAUAUUAUGUUUUUUCCUUGUCCUUCAAUAGUAAAGAUAAUGGUUGAAAUGAGUUUGACACACAUUCAAUUUGACCAACGUUGAAUUAAACAUGCGUUGCAAAUGCCUUUGAAGUUUUAUACCGCAUGUCGGAAAAGUUUUUGGCACUUGUGUCACUUAUAUCCUGCAUGACAGGAAAAGUUGUGAUGGCUCAUAUGCUACUUGAGUAUCACAUAAAAGUAAAGAAGUCUGGGGGAGCUUUUAAAGUUAUCCCAACAAUUCUCAUGCACUACUAUAGUGGUAUGUUGAAUAGUGACCUGAAAAGAAUCGAAGGACAAAAAGAAAGUUGUAUGCAAACCAAGAUUGCAAGCAUGACUUGCAAAAGUAUAGCAAAAUGAAGAACUUGAUGAGUUCCUGAAAGUGCAACAAAUCAAGAACUCUGAGGUGCUCUUGAAAAGGAAUGAGAAAAUGGUACUCUCAUUAUUUUGUAUGACUUGGUCGUAUGAAUAAAGUUCUAGUAAUGAAAGGCUCCUCGUUCACAAGUGUUAAAAAUAGUUUCGAAAUUAUGGCAGCAAAGUUUGUGCCAUAUUUCGAGGGGGAGAAAGAUUAGAAAGACAAGAAAGAUUAAAAUUUAGAGAGAAUUUCCCUGCAAAGUUAAAUGCGAUGCAUUUUAAAGCAAGAAUGAUCUAUUAAAGAGGAAUAUGACCGAAAAGAGAGUACAACGGUCAUAACAUUGAUACCCCAUUCAAGAAAAUAAGCAAAAUUCCUGGAGUUUUUUUUUCAGCUCCAAAUAUGAAGAAAAGAUAGUUGAGUCUCAAAGCAAUCAAAAGAAAAGAUAGUGCUUAUAGCACCCUAUGAGGCUCGUAAAGAUCAAACCCAAACAAAAGCAUGAAGAUAUUUCAUCUUUAUAAUAGAUGGGAUAAUCUGGGGGAGUAAAGUAUGUCGAGAACUAAGGCCUGAUGAGAAGUUCAAGCACAAAAAUUGUCUCGACAUUUCUAUUGUUAAAAGAUAAAAAAUACACAUAAGUGAAGAAGUACAAAUGAAGAUAAUUCCAUCUCAUUUAGAGAAGCCAUGAGGUGCUCAUUCAUCAAAGUGGCAAGAAGCCAUGAGAGAUGUCAUGAGACUUAGAAGUUCCAAACCUGUUUUGGAACAUAGAAUAAGUUCCUAAAGGAGCCAAAACUGUAGGCUGUAAUGGGUCUACAAGAUUAAAUGUGACUCCAGAGGGAACAUAGAAAGUCGAUAAGCACGACUUGUAACAAAAGGAUUUAUGCAAAGAAAAGGAUAAGAUAUAAUGAGACAUUUUAUGCGGUCUCAUGAAAGGGUUCUUUUAGAAUUAUAAAGACAAUGGUGGCAUACUGUUUUUAGAAUUGCAUCAGAUGGAUGUUGGAGCAAUAUCUCCCAAUGGAGGUUUGUACCAGAAAGUAUAUACAUGACAUAACUAAAUGGUUUCUGUUGUGGAAAGAAAAUAACAUUGGAAUACCACCUAAUGAAAUCAUAUUUCAGAACAGUGGCAUCUAAUGCUUUGUGAGAACAAAAAAAAAGAUUUUGGGUUUUAAGUAAAGGUCAAUGCAAGAUGACAAAUUGAAAAUAUGCAAAGUUCAAAGAUGGAAAAGUUCAAAGAAGGUUAUUAUGACCUCUAGUUUUGAUAAGAAUAAUCUUGGUGAAGAGUCAUUCGCUCUAGGAAAGAAAAUUCACCGGGAUAAAAGAAAAGGGGGUAUCAGGACUAUCGCAGAGAGCAUAUUUAGAAAAGAAUUCUAAAGAUAUAUAGUAUGCAUGCGAGCAAGCCUACGCCUGUCCUAUUAUCAAGGGUAAUAGUAUUGGAAUUUUCAGCAUUCUAGGAACCGUUAUAUGAUCGAUCAAAAGAAAAAGGUUCCAUGUGCUUCAGCUGUUGGAAGCAAAAUUAGUGCUCAAAAGAAUUUACCCUGACAUAGCGCAAGUAUCCGGGACAUUUUGGCAGAAGUCCAGUCUAGCAAUAGAUCACUGGAAUGGAGUUAUAGAAUAUUUUUGUAAUUUUGCAAAGUAUUGUCAGCCUCAUGUUAAGUAAGAAAGGAACAUGUACUCUCAAAAGGUUGUGAGUAAAAAGAAUUAAAUUUUGGCGAGAUGUUUAGUGAAGCCCACAGUAGUAGCUAACACUCGUGCUUAGAGUUUUAUUGUGGAAAAGCUCCAAAGCAAAAUAGUUAUCAUAUCAUGGGUCUUGUACCCAAAGUUUAGCAUGAUAUGAGGCUAAAGGACACGCAAAAUGGUUGAGGAAACCGUUAAGUGUGCUGCCAUUCGAAUGUUUUCACUCCUAUGACAACAUGUCAAGUGUGCUGCCAAACACAUUGACGGUGAGUUAUAUGUUGCGAAGGAGAAAAUCCAGAAUCAUAUGACAUCAUUGAGCACCAAAGUAUCAAGCAAGUGCUUGCGGAUCCGCUUACCAAAGGCUUACCGCCCAAGUCGACAUGGGUUUUUACGGGAGGCCUAUGAUUUCUGGAUUACUAAAGGGCCCAAAGAAAGGUUAAGGUUUUGUUUCAAUACAGAAAUGUGCAUUGUGGCUAUUAAUCUGAUGGUAAGCGAUAACUGUCAUGACGAAGCAUGCCCUACGUACCGAAGAUGAGGACCAAGAGCAAAGCAAGUAGAGAAAAAGUAAAGAGUUAAGUUCAAGUUGAGAAGUUUAAAAGUAAAAGAUGAGAUCAAGGGGGAGAAUGUUGUGUUGAUCUCCACCAGUUGGUCCAACGGCCAACUGGGCCUUUGACUCGCGCUCUGAUCGGGAGCGCCCAGCCCAAUGCAAGGCUGGUGGGCCCCCGUCGCGCAGUGCCUAAACAGGAGGUGGGGUGCUGGUGGCUAGGGUUAUGAGAUUCACUGCCGCCACUUUUCCCACCGUCCUAACCCUAAUCCGAUCUAAAGAGUGGGCUGUCAGCGACGGGAAGCUCCACUACGCCGUCGCCAUCAGGCCAUCGCCGCCCCUGCACUGCGACAACACCGCCACCACGACGUCUCUGCGCUGCGCGUCGCUGCCCCAACGCAGAACUUCACCGAUGAACCCACGGUGUCCUACAACUUCUAUAUCCUGGGAUGCAUGUAUCAAGAGGUGUCACGAAGCCUACAUGACGAAAAAAGGGCAAGAGUGCAACAAUGAGAACCCGAACCCUGGAUGGAUGCUUGACAUGGAGUGCGUGGAACCUGAUAGGGUUUGUCUGAUGGAUCUGAAGGUGGAAAGCAGGUAACGUUCCCUUUUUUUUUGGCAUGAUCUGAUCUCUUAUGCCAAUUGCUCUAGGGAUUCAUUCACAUCAAUUAUUUUUUGUGUUACAAUUAAUCUCCAAGUUUGAUCUUGUGGUGCUUCAUUAUUUUUUCUUGCAAAGAAAAAAUACAUUAUUUGGCAUGCUGCAACUCAACAAUGUUCCUUUCUUCCGCAGUUCCGCCAUAACAAAAUCAAAUAGCCAGGAUGGAUGGACACCACAGCAUUUUGCCAUACAGAGUAGAAUAGAGAUAUAGCAAGGGUCUUGCUUGUCAAUGGUGUGGAUAGAGCAAGAAGAUCCAUGCAGUGUAUGCCGAGGCAUCUGGCCAUACCCAGCUCAAGACUUGUCGCCUUUGAAACACUGGAACCAAGGUUUGCCCCUAUUAUUUCGUAUACUUUUGUUGAUGAGCAGUAUAUACCAAAAAUUAUGUUGCCUAUGUGUUGGCUGUUUAGAUAAAUUUCUGUUGUUUCAUAAAACAAGUUAAGUGCCUUCAGAAACAAUGAUGUCAAUAGAGAAGCUCUAUUCUCUUCUUUUAGGGCUUGUUCUUCUAGCUACUUGGGUACUAUUGAGUCACAGCUAGAAAGCUUAAUCCUUGUUCUUCUGUGUCCAAUGUGGCUGAACUUUGAAAGUGAUUACAAGUCUGGUUUGGUUCUUCUGAAUGUCAUUGUCGCACAGGAUAUAUGCACCUGUCUAUAACCAAUGUGUUUCUACAAAUCAACAGCUCGGGAAACAUUUUAAGGUGUUAUUAUGCUUUCGCUUAGAAACUUUUGAUGUGUGAUGACAUUGUAUAACCGAGAACUUUUACAGGAUCACUUAAAGCAUUUUGAUACACAUAUUGAUGAGGUAAAUAUUUGUUUGCCUAUAAUGUUGACGCUUUCUUUGGGGUUUUCCACAAUGGAACAGAAUGGAAUCUUUUAAUUUAUAUAUGGCCUAAUUCGAUGCAUGUUCCCUAUUUUUGCCUGCCAGCAAACGACCUGGUUGAUGUUAUUACACCAUCAUGCUACACGUAUUCUCUCUACAAAUGGGUUGCUAUUUUUUCGCCACAACUUUAAUUGCCCGUUCACAAUUGAGCUAAUGCUUUGCUUAUACCAUCUGCAGCUGCUUUGACUACACAAAUGGCUUGGCGGUAAGGUUUCCACCAUUUUGAAUGUGAAUAGGUCUCUUGUAUCAUUGUCUUGCUAUAUAUCUUAACAGUCUGCUCCCUACUUAUCCUGGAGUGGAGAAGCAGCUCACAGCUAGAGCUUGAAGAUGGUGUUUUGUGGAAAAUCUGUGCAGGAUUUAGUGGUGGGGUAUAUGGGCGUGCCAAAAUAGAAAUGAAAGGUCCAUCCUAGGAAAGCAAUUUUGCAUUAGCUUUCUGAUUCGUAGACCUCCUUGGUUUUCUUUCAGUUGUAGUGUUGACACAGCAAAUCACCUAAUUGAGCACACUGACCAUGAGGUGCUCACGGCUGGGCUGGAGCAGAAAAUAUCGUCUUGGAACAAAUGGCUUGUCUAGCAUUGUACCCAGCACCAAGAGCCUCAACAUGGAGAUUUUGUCCCUCGACCCUCAACAUGCUCUGAUUAUAAGUCUAGAAAAUUUGUAGAUUCUAUUUUGCUUGCAGAUGCAGUGUUUAUAGCACACGGGUGUCGUCGCUUGUUAAUGCACAAGUUCUAUACAUACAAGGAAUAUUCAUGAUGAUCUGGUUGUUUCCAGAUCGUAGCAUUAAGUAGUCUAAGUUGUUACUUGACAUAAAAGUUGAUGAACAUGGUGACAAGAGAAUAUGUUGAAUUUUUUUAUUGCCUAAUAA